Molecule: ribosomal RNA, 700 nt
Filed under: uncultured bacterium
Lineage: Bacteria
Description: bacterial SSU rRNA
Rfam family: Bacterial small subunit ribosomal RNA
Source: RNAcentral
UGCAAGUCGUACGAGGGUUUUUAACUUUAGUGGCGGACGGGUGAGUAACACGUGAGAAUUUGCCUUUAGGAGGGGGAUAACAAUCGGAAACGAAUGCUAAUACCCCAUAUGCUUUUGAGAGAAAUGGAUUUAUCCGCCUAAAGAGAAGCUCGCGGCUGAUUAGCUUGUUGGUAAGGUAAGAGCUUACCAAGGCGACGAUCAGUAUCUGGUUUGAGAGGACGAUCAGACACACUGGAACUGAGACACGGUCCAGACUCCUACGGGAGGCAGCAGUGGGGAAUUUUCCGCAAUGGGCGAAAGCCUGACGGAGCAAUACCGCGUGAGGGAAGACUGCCUAUGGGUUGUAAACCUCUUUUUUCAGGGAGGAAUAAAUUGACGUGUACCUGAAGAAUAAGCAUCGGCUAACUCCGUGCCAGCAGCCGCGGUAAGACGGAGGAUGCAAGUGUUAUCCGGAAUCACUGGGCGUAAAGCGUCUGUAGGUGGUUUAAUAAGUCAACUGUUAAAUCUUGAGGCUCAACUUCAAAAUCGCAGUCGAAACUAUUAGACUAGAGUAUAGUAGAGGUAAAGGGAAUUUCCAGUGGAGCGGUGAAAUGCGUAGAUAUUGGAAAGAACACCAAUGGCGAAAGCACUUUACUGGGCUAUUACUAACACUCAGAGACGAAAGCUAGGGUAGCAAAUGGGAUUAGAUACCUCAAUAGUC